This 801-nucleotide long non-coding RNA is filed under the name Carica papaya (papaya). RNAcentral describes it as "long non-coding RNA (CPAP_LNC005005)". Lineage: Eukaryota; Viridiplantae; Streptophyta; Magnoliopsida; Brassicales; Caricaceae. The record is from RNAcentral.
UUAAGAUCAAUCUGAAAGCCCACCACUCAUCAUCAUUGAAUGUCUUUCAGCCAGUUGUCUUAGUGACCCAUAAGGCUUCCAAGUCUUGAUGGAAUCGAUGAUCUAUCUUACUUGAUCUAGGCUUGCAUGAACUGGAUCCUUGGGCUUUAUGGGAUUGGGCCUUUUCUCGGGCCUUGCUUCCCUAUUAGCACAAAAUUUGAUGGUCGCCUCCUGGGGUCGCAUCAUGUCUAAUCCACGUGGGGCGUUAGGCUUGGUUUGUGCACAUGUCCCAUCGCGCACAGACAGGUAAAGCUCUAUGCGCCCUAUGCAUGCAUCGUCCGUGUAGCUAGCCUGUGCGUAGAAGGCUUGCCCGCAAUGCAUUGUGAGCAGUAUCUUGUGCACAAGCUAGGCCUGCGCGUGAUAGGCUAGGUCGGUGCAUCAGCAGGCUAGGGCUACAGUGCGCGAUAGACUGGGGCAACGAGCUACUGCUUCAGAUAGUAUACGUCUCCCCCUUCAACGCCAUACGGUGCCUUAGGUAGCGUGCGCAAUCGGUUGGGUAGCAACUGCUAACUGAGAUGUGUGCCAUUUUUAUUUUGGCAACAUGCCACCAUCAUUGGGUGGCGUGCCACUAUUUUUUGUACCACCAUCAUGUUGUGUCAUCCAUCCAUCGGUCACAUCUGUCAGUCACAUCUGUCAGUCAUCACAUCACUUUAUUUCCUAUUAACUUUCUCUCUCCUCACCAAAUUUUGCCACUCAGUGCAAAUUCGACGGUCUCCAUUUUUUAUAAAUAGGGACCCUUCCUUCAUCAUUUCCUCAUCACUU